CCCCUUAGCUGUUAUAAAUUCACUGUAAACCAUGGCUUCUUGGGGCUUAUUGCUUUAUUAUGUACGGGUGGUUUAUGUAUAAUACAUACAGAAAUUUGUUCUUCUUACGCACAAUUUAAGGACAAACAUUUAUACACAAAAACGUUCUGCGUGUACGAAAAUUUAAAUAAAAUGAGUUUCAUGAAUGGGUCCCUUUUGUUUUUUUAGCCGGCACAAAGUUUGGCAGAUCCAGUUUUGGCUAAAGAUUACAAAUAACGUGGACGAAUAUACAACGAACAACCAGUCAUAGCACAGACACACAUCUGUACACAGUCAAACAAAACCCACACGCACACAUAUUAAAUGUGCAGCAAUGUAUUCCAGCCGAUUCAUACUGAUCGACGUGUUAAGGCAACGGCAGAGCUUGGGUAUAAAAUAGUGCUAUAGAGUAAACUGGUUUGAGGGGGCUGCCUGUAAACUACGUUUGUAAACAAUAUUUUUACGGGCCGUUCGAAAGAUGUGUAAACGUUUACAGCAAAGUGCUACAGGCGCUAUCGAACACUGUGGAUCAUGCUGAACUACUUUGGCAUCAGGACGGAGUUUUGCUUGUCCUACGAACGUAAAAUAGUCCUGAUAAAGGCAGCAGAAAGCGAGACUACACGGAGACUUUCGAGUUUAACGUAGAGGAACACCGAUCAGCUGUUGCGUAAUGAUUAUGUGGCUGUCGUGAUGGCCCUGUAUUAUAUUAUGAUGGUCAAAAGUUCAACGCCUGAUUCACAAUUCACAAAAAUACGUUAAUAUUUUGUCCCAUCACACAUAAAUUGUUCACCGACAAACAUGAUACAUCAGAUGAAUUUGUCCUGUCAAAUUUUGGGCCUUCUGUGGUGUAAGUGCAUUGUGUGUGUGUGUGUGUGUGUGUGUGUGUAUGCGUGCAUGUGUGUGUGUGUGUGCUUGUGAGAGCGAUUAUGACACAUGGGCACUUUUUACAUCUUUACAAAUAAAGAAAAAAGAAAGAAAUCAAAAACAUGAACAGUUUCAGGCAACAAGACCACAGAAGAGCAAGUUAACAACCUUUUUUAAAUCUACAUCUUUAAAUAUGAGGGUUCCAUACAAAACACUUACGUAA
This is a long non-coding RNA of Sinocyclocheilus rhinocerous, 1105 nucleotides long. RefSeq lists it as uncharacterized. Lineage: Eukaryota; Metazoa; Chordata; Actinopteri; Cypriniformes; Cyprinidae. The transcript is spliced from 2 exons. The record is from RefSeq and is a predicted model, not a curated record.